RNAcentral lists this ribosomal RNA (482 nucleotides) under uncultured bacterium. RNAcentral's name for it is "partial 16S ribosomal RNA". It matches the Rfam family "Bacterial small subunit ribosomal RNA", at positions 30 to 507 of the family's 1533-position model. The record is from RNAcentral.
AUUGAACGCUGGCAGCAUGCCUUACACAUGCAAGUCGAACGGUAACAGGUCUUCGGAUGCUGACGAGUGGCGAACGGGUGAGUAAUACAUCGGAACGUGCCCGAUCGUGGGGGAUAACGAGGCGAAAGCUUUGCUAAUACCGCAUACGAUCUACGGAUGAAAGCGGGGGAUCUUCGGACCUCGCGCGGACGGAGCGGCCGAUGGCAGAUUAGGUAGUUGGUGGGAUAAAAGCUUACCAAGCCGACGAUCUGUAGCUGGUCUGAGAGGAUGAUCAGCCACACUGGGACCGAGACACGGCCCAGACUCCUACGGGAGGCAGCAGUGGGGAAUUUUGGACAAAGGGCGAAAGCCUGAUCCAGCCAUGCCGCGUGCAGGAUGAAGGCCUUCGGGUUGUAAACUGCUUUUGUACGGAACGAAAAGCCUCUUUCUAAUAAAGAGGGGUCAUGACGGUACCGUAAGAAUAAGCACCGGCUAACUACGUG